UACGAAGGGUGCAAGCGUUACUCGGAAUUACUGGGCGUAAGCGUGCGUAGGUGGUUCGUUAAGUCUGAUGUGAAGCCUGGCUCAACCUGGAAUGGCAUUGGAAACUGGCGACCUAGAGUGCGGUAGAGGUAGGUGGAAUUCCCGGUGUAGCAGUGAAAUGCGUAGAGAUCGGGAGGAACAUCCGUGGCGAAGGCGGCUACCUGGCCCAAUACUGACGACUCAGGUGCGACAGCGUGGAGCAACAGG
RNAcentral lists this ribosomal RNA (246 nucleotides) under uncultured bacterium. RNAcentral's name for it is "partial 16S ribosomal RNA". It matches the Rfam family "Bacterial small subunit ribosomal RNA", at positions 524 to 776 of the family's 1533-position model. The record is from RNAcentral.